Molecule: ribosomal RNA, 253 nt
Filed under: uncultured bacterium
Lineage: Bacteria
Description: partial 16S ribosomal RNA
Rfam family: Bacterial small subunit ribosomal RNA
Source: RNAcentral
UACGUAGGGGGCAAGCGUUGUCCGGAAUCAUUGGGCGUAAAGAGCGUGUAGGCGGCCCGAUAAGUCCGCUGUGAAAGUCCAGGGCUCAACCCUGGAAUGCCGGUGGAUACUGUCGGGCUCGAAUCCGGAAGAGGCGAGUGGAAUUCCCGGUGUAGCGGUGAAAUGCGCAGAUAUCGGGAGGAACACCAAUGGCGAAGGCAGCUCGCUGGGACGUUACUGACGCUGAGACGCGAAAGCGUGGGGAGCAAACAGG